UACGUAGGGUGCGAGCGUUAAUCGGAAUUACUGGGCGUAAAGCGUGCGCAGGCGGCUUUGCAAGACAGAUGUGAAAUCCCCGGGCUCAACCUGGGAACUGCAUUUGUGACUGCAAGGCUAUAGUACGGCAGAGGGGGAUGGAAUUCCGCGUGUAGCAGUGAAAUGCGUAGAUAUGCGGAGGAACACCAAUGGCGAAGGCAAUCCCCUGGGCCUGUACUGACGCUCAUGCACGAAAGCGUGGGGAGCAAACAGG
Molecule: ribosomal RNA, 253 nt
Filed under: uncultured bacterium
Lineage: Bacteria
Description: partial 16S ribosomal RNA
Rfam family: Bacterial small subunit ribosomal RNA
Source: RNAcentral